Molecule: ribosomal RNA, 800 nt
Filed under: bacterium b1cb39
Lineage: Bacteria
Description: bacterial SSU rRNA
Rfam family: Bacterial small subunit ribosomal RNA
Source: RNAcentral
GAACAUUUGGUGUAGCGGUGAAAUGCAUAGAUAUCACAUAGAACACCGAUCGCGAAGGCAGGUAACCAACAACGUACUGACGCUGAUGGACGAAAGCGUGGGUAGCGAACGGGAUUAGAUACCCCGGUAGUCCACGCCGUAAACGAUGGAUACUAGCUGUCGGGUCUUCGGACUCGGCGGCCAAGCGAAAGUGAUAAGUAUCCCACCUGGGGAGUACGUUCGCAAGAAUGAAACUCAAAGGAAUUGACGGGGGCCCGCACAAGCGGUGGAGCAUGUGGUUUAAUUCGAUGAUACGCGAGGAACCUUACCAGGGCUUAAAUGUAACGGGACAGGCUUAGAGAUAGGCUUUUCUUCGGACUCGUUACAAGGUGCUGCAUGGUUGUCGUCAGCUCGUGCCGUGAGGUGUCAGGUUAAGUCCUAUAACGAGCGCAACCCCUACCGUUAGUUGCCAGCGAUUCAAGUCGGGGACUCUAACGGGACUGCCGGUGCAAACCGUGAGGAAGGUGGGGACGACGUCAAAUCAUCACGGCCCUUACGUCCUGGGCCACACACGUGCUACAAUGGCCGGUACAGAGGGAAGCCACCCCGUAAGGGGGCGCGGAUCUACAAAGCCGGUCACAGUUCGGAUCGGGGUCUGCAACUCGACCCCGUGAAGCUGGAAUCGCUAGUAAUCGGAUAUCAGCCAUGAUCCGGUGAAUACGUUCCCGGGCCUUGUACACACCGCCCGUCAAGCCAUGGAAGCCGGGAGUGCCUGAAGUCCGUCACCGCGAGGAGCGGCCUAGGGCAAAAUCGGUAAUAGG